CUCCUCGGGAUGUCCCAGCCUGGAGCAGGCAGCAGCAGGACCAGCAGCAGCUCUGCCUUGGCCCAGGGCUGGUUGUGCCCCUGAAGGGGCACCAGGACAUUCACUUGGCUACAGAUGCACGGGCACAUCCCCCAGACUGCCUGACCCCAGUCAGCUCCUGCAAGGACUGAGAAAUGGGUUUAUUUGCUGGCAAACAAAUGUCACCUUCUGGGAAGCAGAGGAGCCCGUGAAGGCUCCCCUGAGAAAACGAAAGCGACUGACUCAGAGUUUCAGGGAGAGGAGGGUAAACACACAGCCAGACAGAAGAGGAAAUUGGUGCACCAAAAAAUCCCUGGUUUAAUUACCCCAGGUGCUAUUUUUAGUAACACAAGGACAGGAGAACAGACAA
Molecule: long non-coding RNA, 388 nt
Organism: Corapipo altera (White-ruffed manakin)
Lineage: Eukaryota; Metazoa; Chordata; Aves; Passeriformes; Pipridae
Exons: 2
Source: RefSeq, a predicted model, not a curated record